Molecule: long non-coding RNA, 1410 nt
Filed under: Cricetulus griseus (Chinese hamster)
Lineage: Eukaryota; Metazoa; Chordata; Mammalia; Rodentia; Cricetidae
Description: lncRNA (ENSCGRG00000025189.1)
Source: RNAcentral
GAUUGCUUCUGUCAACCUUUCUCUCACUUUCACCUGUUUUGAGGACUCCUCCCUACAAGGACAGUAAAUUCUUGUCAGAUUGCUUAUGUUUUCAGGCUUAGGUAAAUUCUCUAGAUCAGAAAUCAGACAACUUACAUUGGCACCUUUGGGCCACUAGGUGGAGACUGCGAACAGCCUCCAGGGUAGCUGCGGAUGUGCAGAAUCGGCAGCUGCGCAGUGGAGGAAAUGGAGGGUCCGAUGCUGGCAAGGCCUUUCUCCCUCAGGAUGAAAGCCGCUGAAGAAGAUACACUGUUUUUUCUUUGAAGAUUCUAAAAGAGAAGAAAAAAUUUACAGCAAAGAUCAACCCAAAGAUACAUGCAGAUUGGUUUCAGAAUCAGAAGGUCAUACUGAGGAAGCGAUGUUACCAAAUAAAUGCUGCACUAUCAGCCAACUCCUUUUCAAUUUCGGGGUGGAAUCUCCAGUCAUUUUCCAAGGUACCUGGGUCAGAUCCCCUUUCUCCACUACUUUCAGAAAUCAGGGAGCUUUCAUAUAUUCAUAAAAGAGUUAAACUGUUUCACCAAUAUUACUUUGUAGGAAAAUCCACAUUGCUGUUUCUAGAGAUUGUGGGGUUAUUAUUUAUGAUAUAAAAUUGUGUAAAUGUCCAAAAUAAUAUUAUACAUAUUAUUUUCAUUGCUCAGGAGAUCCUGCGCCUUCUCCAUGGUCUAUGCAUUCUUCUCUUAGAGUCUUUCUUCUUUCCUAGUUCCUUUGGUGAUGAGGAUUGUAGGCUGGUAAUCCUUUGCUCUAUGUCCAAAAUUCAUAUAUGAGUGAGUACAUACCAUGUUUGUCUUUUUGUACCUGGGUAACAGGAGGGAAUGGCGGAGCUGGAAGUUUGAGUCAGGGGAAGAAUAGAGGAGAGAGAGCAGGAUGAGAGAUCCAAUAACAGAGGGGGGCCUUUAUAGGUUCAAUGAGAGAUCUGGCACUAGAGAGAUUUCCAGAGAUCUACAAGGAUGACACCAACUGACAAUCUAGGCAGUGGUGGAGAGGCUACCCUAAAUGCCCUUCCCCUGUAAUGAGACUGAUGACUGCUUUAUAUGACAUCCUAGAGCCCUCAUCCAGUGGCUGAUGGAAGCAGAGGCAGACACCCACAGCUAAACACUGGACUGAACUCCUGGAAUCCGUUGCAGAGAGGAGGAGUGAAGAGCAAAGAGGUGAGGACCCAGCUGGUGAAACCCACAGAAACAGAUGACCUGAACAAGGGAGAGCACAUGGACCCAAGUCUGAUGUCUGGUAGGCCAGCACGGAACUGAUCCAGAACCCUGAAUGUGGAUGUCAAUGAAGAGGUCUUGGCACUCUAUGGGGCCCCUGGUAGAGGAUCAGUAUUUACCCCUUGUGUAUGUAGGAAGGGACUUUGGGAGCCCAUCCCACAUGGAA